UGAAUAUUUUUUUUGAUAUCACCAACCUUCCCCUGUGUUCACAAACAAAACCCUAGAAUUAUCUUCAGACCAAAUUCUACGACAUUAAAUUUUGCGUAACGUUGAUUGGAUUUUUUAAACCGAAUCUAUGGCUUCCAAGAUUCUUGCAAAUUUGAUUGUAAUGGGUUCUGGAAUAAUGGCUAGGGCUCUUGUUCAAGCAUAUAGACAAGCCCUCCAAAAUGCAUCAAAAUCAGGUGUUGCUCAAGACACAUUACAAAAUGUUGUGCGUAAAGGAAGCAAAGCUAUGACUGAACAAGAAGCCAGACAAAUUCUUGGUGUCAAUGAACAAUCAUCAUGGGAAGAAAUCGCACAAAAAUAUGACAAUUUAUUUGAAAGGAACGCCAAGAAUGGGAGUUUUUAUCUACAGUCAAAAGUUCAUAGGGCUAAAGAAUGUUUAGAAACAACUUAUCAAGCAGGUGAAUAUGCAGGUUAAUUAAUUCUUCUGCUAUGGAGGUAAUCCUUUUUUUUUUGACCUAAAUGCCCUUGGUGAUGAUUGUAUAGUUUACAAUCUAAUUGAGUUUGAGAAAAUGAAAUUUGUAUUCUUUAACCAUGUUGACUUUGAGUAAAGUGAAUAAGACUUGAGCAUUAUAGGUAUUCAAGUGAGUCGAAAAAACGUGUUUGUAUUAUGUGUUGUAGUUGUUUGGAGACACAUGGAUGUAACAGAUAUAAUAAAAUGUUGCACCAAGUUAAUGAUAGCUUAAAAAAACUUGUAUGGGGGUUUGAUUAUAUCACAAAUUUCUUUUUGAGAUUUGGAGAUAAGUAAUAGUAAUGAGAUCUUAAAAACAAUCAUACUAUAAGUUGUUACAUAACAAGCAACUAUAGUGAUAACUAACGAAAUAAAAGGUAUUAAGAUGUGUAUCGUCAUCAUAGACAAAGGUUGAUAUGAGAUUCUAGAGGAUUCCAAAAGGACUGAGAGCAUUCAAGAAAUAUCAAGUUUGUGGAAGCGUAUAGUAUGAAGGUUUUGUGGACCAUUCCUUGUAAAUAUUUAUAGAAAAGUUAGUUUAUUCAUUUACUUAUAGUUUUGUAUUCCAAAAAGACUUGAUUUUUAUGAGGUAGGAGUCUUUGAUUUCUAUUCAUCUUCGGUUUAUAUAAUUCUAUUUUGUAAGUAUUGACAGAGUAACACAAGUCUCUUUUCGGUUUUGCUCAGUAAGUUGUUCAUACCAAGGUUGUCAAGAUCGGGAUUCUACCUAGGAUCGUUUUUGGGUUUACAAGAUUGGGAUCGGGAUCCUAAAAUCCCACAAAAUUAAAUAUAAUUUUAAUUUAUAAUUUUCAAUCAUGAAAAAUAUUUUAAACAUUCAAUUUUUCGUUCAAAAGUUAUAAAAACUUCAAAAUAUUAGUCAUAAGCCACAAUACAAAAUGAUAAAUGGUAAAUUGCUAAAGGGUAAAAGAUAUAAAAUGGUAAAAAAAAAAUUCAUUUGCUAAAAAAAAAAAAUAAUAAAAAAAUCAAGGAAGGUAGGAUCGGAUCUCGAUCUUACGAUCCUACCUUAAAUACGAUCCUUUUACGAUCUGAAUCGUUUUUCAUAUCUAGGAUCGUAUGAUCCUACGAUUAGGAUUGCGAUUUUGACAACCAUGGUUCGAGUUAGAUCGGGUUGGUUUGGGGGAUAAGUAGUGACAAUGAGCUUGUAGAGUUAAGUCAAUGACAGGUAGUGCCAGAGCCGACCCUUUUGAUAGGCUUAGGAGAAGGUUUGGAUAAUCAGUCCCAAGGGAAGGCUACGACUAUGUUUGACGUACUAGCUGAAAAACUAGUUGUUAAAUAAAAAGCUAGCUGACAGCUGAAAAGCUAGCUGAUAAAAAAUGACGUUUGGUAAAACUAGCUAAAAGAUAUAAAAUGACAUAAAAGGGUAUUUAAAAAAAGAUGUUUCUAUAUUUAAUUAAGGGGUAUAUUUGGAAAAUUUAAAAAAAAAACUUCUAAAAAACUACUCUAAGUAGCUUUUUAAAAACUAGCUUAUAAACUACUUUUUGGUUUGCCAAACAUAACAACUUAAAAAAGCUCGAAAAAUAAGUUAGCUUAUUAACUAGCUGUGACGCGCCAAACACAACCUAAGUAGUGACAGAGAGCUUGUAGAGACAAGUCCUCAACAUUUUUUUUCAUAACUCUCUCAAAACCUCUCUGCUUUCUUAGGUCUGAUUUUUCUAGGUUUCUUGAGUAUUUUAACUAGGCUCUAAAGUAGCUAGAAGCCCAACAAAAUAGCACUUUCGGUUUCGGAGUUAUGUUGGCGCAUUUUCUCGAGUUUUUGCUAAAACCUCUCUAAGUUAAACUACGCUCUUUUGAUUUCAGUGUAACUUUUAUUUAUAGUCAUAAGUCAUUAUUAUGAACAUAUAAAUAAGAUUUAUCGGUAAUUCUAACUUAAAAUACUGAUUAAUCUUCUUACAAGAGAGGUGUCUACAAUGGUCACGUUGGCUUAGUUGUUGGAUCUCAGAAAAGUUGUAACGCCCGUUGCCAGGUACUCCUGAGGAUCGCGAGAUGGCGAAGACUUGAUUGUACAUAUUCGCCCGCAGUUUAUGAUUCCAGAUAUUUUGAGACUCUUAUAUUUCGGUGAUGAUCUGUAUUGACAUUUGUGGGUUUCUUGAAAUGGUUUUUAUCAAGACAAAAUUGCAAGAAUGGUCCUUGUGUUAUGUUAAAACUUGCAAGUUUGGUCCAAAAAGGUUUGGACUUGCAUUAGUGGUCCAAACUUUUCAUUUUGUUGCGAAUUUGGUCCAAACUUUUCAUUUUUGUUGUGGAUUUGGUCCACGUCAAUUUAAACUUUUUUAUAAUGACGUUUUUGCCCUUA
Non-coding RNA from Lactuca sativa (garden lettuce), 2810 nucleotides. The record is from RefSeq and is a predicted model, not a curated record. NCBI's taxonomy places the organism in Eukaryota, Viridiplantae, Streptophyta, Magnoliopsida, Asterales, Asteraceae.